Molecule: ribosomal RNA, 1307 nt
Filed under: Allacta bimaculata
Lineage: Eukaryota; Metazoa; Arthropoda; Insecta; Blattodea; Pseudophyllodromiidae
Description: 16S ribosomal RNA
Rfam family: Archaeal large subunit ribosomal RNA (bases 1062-1221)
Source: RNAcentral
AUUUAUAUAAAAUUUUAUUUUUUUUUGUAUUUAUUUAUUUAUUUUUAUUAAAAUAUUAUAUUGUUUUUGUAUUUUAUUGUGAUUUAAUUUUUUUGAUGAUAAUAUAUUUUUACUGUAGGGGAUUAAAAUUUUUAUUUUUAUAAGUUGAUUUUAUUUAUUGUACCUUGUGUAUCAGGAUUUAUUGAAAAUUAAUAUUUAUUUUAUUAUUCUCGAUUUUAUAUGAGUUAAUUAAUUAUUUUUUUUAUUGUGUUAUAAUUAUUUAUAAUAAUUGAUUAGUAAUGAAAUGUUAUUCGUUUUUAAUGGUAUCUAGUUUCCUAAGAAAUAAAUUUAAUUUAUGUUUAUUUAUUAUUUUCUUAUUUUUAAGAUUUUUUUAAUUAUUACUAAUGUCUUAAGGGAUUAGCUUUAAUGAUUUAUUUACUAUAAAUUUGAUUUUGGUUAUUUAAUUUUAUAUUAUGAAUUUAAAGGUAAUUAUUGAUUUGAGGAAGUAGAAUUUUUAUUUAUUUUUUGUUAUUAUUUUAUUUUUUUUAGUUUUUUUAUUAGGAUAAAUUUUAAUUAAUUAUUUAUUUUAAGUUAUUAUUAUAUAAUUAGUAUAUUUAUUAUUUAUUUUUAUUUUGGAUAUUUAUUGAUUUAAUUAAUAUUUAUUAAUUAGGCAAAUAUAAUACUCGAUUGUUUAUCAAAAACAUUUUUUCUUGUGUUUGUUAUGAAAUAUGACCUGCCCACUGAAUUAUUUAAUGGCCGCGGUAUUUUGACCGUGCAAAGGUAGCAUAAUCAUUAGUUUUUUAAUUGGAGACUGGAAUGAAUGGUUGAACGAGGUAUUAACUAUUUUUUUAUUAUUUAUAGUAGAAUUUAAUUAUUUAGUGAAAAGGCUUAAAUUUUGUUAUGGGACGAGAAGACCCUAUAGAUUUUUACAUUAAUUUAUUUAAUUUUGUUAAUUAUUUUUGUUACUUAUUUUAUUGUUUGGUUGGGGUGAUUUAAAGAUAUAUAAAACUCUUUAAUUUUUAAUACUUGUUUGUGAAUUGUUGAUUCAUUAUUAUUGAUUUAUAAGAUUAAAUUACCUUAGGGAUAACAGCGUUAUUUUUUUUGAGAGUUCUUAUUGACAUAAAAGAUUGCGACCUCGAUGUUGGAUUAAGAUAAAUUUUGGGUGUAGAUUUUCAUAUAAUUGAGUCUGUUCGACUUUUAAAAUCUUACAUGAUCUGAGUUCAAACCGGUGUGAGCCAGGUUGGUUUCUAUCUAUAAUUUUUUAAAAUAUUUUAGUACGAAAGGACCAAAUUUUUUGAAUAAUUUUUGUUUUUAGUAUUAUUUUAAAU